AAAUUGAAGAGUUUGAUCAUGGCUCAGAUUGAACGCUGGCGGCAGGCCUAACACAUGCAAGUCGAGCGGUAGCACAGAGAGCUUGCUCUCGGGUGACGAGCGGCGGACGGGUGAGUAAUGUCUGGGAAACUGCCUGAUGGAGGGGAUAACUACUGGAAACGGUAGCUAAUACCGCAUAAUGUCGCAAGACCAAAGUGGGGACCUUCGGGCCUCAUGCCAUCAGAUGUGCCCAGAUGGGAUUAGCUAGUAGGUGGGGUAACGGCUCACCUAGGCGACGAUCCUAGCUGGUCUGAGAGGAUGACCAGCCACACUGGAACUGAGACACGGUCCAGACUCCUACGGGAGGCAGCAGUGGGAAUAUUGCACAAUGGGCGCAAGCCUGAUGCAGCCAUGCCGCGUGUGUGAAGAAGGCCUUCGGGUUGUAAAGCACUUUCAGCGGGGAGGAAGGCGGUGAGGUUAAUAACCUCAUCGAUUGACGUUACCCGCAGAAGAAGCACCGGCUAACUCCGUGCCAGCAGCCGCGGUAAUACGGAGGGUGCAAGCGUUAAUCGGAAUUACUGGGCGUAAAGCGCACGCAGGCGGUCUGUCAAGUCGGAUGUGAAAUCCCCGGGCUCAACCGGGAACUGCAUUCGAAACUGGCAGGCUAGAGUCUUGUAGAGGGGGUAGAAUUCCGGUGUAGCGGUGAAAUGCGUAGAGAUCUGGAGGAAUACCGGUGGCGAAGGCGGCCCCUGGACAAAGACUGACGCUCAGGUGCGAAAGCGUGGGGAGCAAACAGGAUUAGAUACCCUGGUAGUCCACGCCGUAAACGAUGUCGAUUUGGAGGUUGUGCCCUUGAGGCGUGGCUUCCGGAGCUAACGCGUUAAAUCGACCGCCUGGGAGUACGGCCGCAAGGUUAAAACUCAAAUGAAUUGACGGGGCCCGCACAAGCGGUGGAGCAUGUGGUUUAAUUCGAUGCAACGCGAAGAACCUUACCUGGUCUUGACAUCCACAGAACUUUCCAGAGAUGGAUUGGUGCCUUCGGGAACUGUGAGACAGGUGCUGCAUGGCUGUCGUCAGCUCGUGUUGUGAAAUGUUGGGUUAAGUCCCGCAACGAGCGCAACCCUUAUCCUUUGUUGCCAGCGGUUCGGCCGGGAACUCAAAGGAGACUGCCAGUGAUAAACUGGAGGAAGGUGGGGAUGACGUCAAGUCAUCAUGGCCCUUACGACCAGGGCUACACACGUGCUACAAUGGCAUAUACAAAGAGAAGCGACCUCGCGAGAGCAAGCGGACCUCAUAAAGUAUGUCGUAGUCCGGAUUGGAGUCUGCAACUCGACUCCAUGAAGUCGGAAUCGCUAGUAAUCGUAGAUCAGAAUGCUACGGUGAAUACGUUCCCGGGCCUUGUACACACCGCCCGUCACACCAUGGGAGUGGGUUGCAAAAGAAGUAGGUAGCUUAACCUUCGGGAGGGCGCUUACCACUUUGUGAUUCAUGACUGGGGUGAAGUCGUAACAAGGUAACCGUAGGGGAACCUGCGGUUGGAUCACCUCCUUA
Molecule: ribosomal RNA, 1530 nt
Filed under: Klebsiella pneumoniae
Lineage: Bacteria; Pseudomonadati; Pseudomonadota; Gammaproteobacteria; Enterobacterales; Enterobacteriaceae
Description: bacterial SSU rRNA
Rfam family: Bacterial small subunit ribosomal RNA
Source: RNAcentral